This 966-nucleotide long non-coding RNA is filed under the name Capra hircus (goat). Its description in RNAcentral is "lncRNA (ENSCHIG00000005815.1)". Lineage: Eukaryota; Metazoa; Chordata; Mammalia; Artiodactyla; Bovidae. The record is from RNAcentral.
GGCAGGAAACUUGGCCGCCUCUGCUCAAUUUUCUGCUGCCCUUUUGUUCUAUCAUCUGCCCAGCCACUGGUGGGAGGAGGCUGAUAAAUUUCCGCUGUUAGUUGGAUGAGAAACUUCCAUAUCUGUGACAAUUAUAAUCAGAUUGCCUUUUGGAAGAGAAAUAUGGACAGUGACUGCAGUCCUUGCUGUCAUUUUUUUCUUGCUAGGCUGCUCGGGAUCUUACUACCUAUUUUUUUUACCUGAUGUUUUGUAGACUAUACGUAACUGUAAGAACUUCAGAAAUGUUUUGAUUGCAAGCACAUCAUUUUAUUUACAGAAAAUAACUCCAAAAGGAGUUUUCUAUUGUAAUCACUUCAAUCAAGUAGCAAGGUUGGCAAGUUUGACCUGGAUUCGGCUUCCCCAGUGGCUCAGUGGUAAAGAAUGCACCUACCAACUCAGGAGACACAGGAGAUGCAGGUUUGAUCCCUGGGUUGGAAAGAUUUCCUGGAGAAGGGAACAGCAACCCACUCCACUAUCCUUGUCUGUGGACAGAGGAGCCUGGCAGGUACAGUCCAGGGAGUUGCAAAGAGUUGAACACAACUUAGCAACUAAACAACAAGAAAACAAUUUGGAUUGAACUCAUAUCUUGCCUCCAAAUUCAGAAAUCAAUUGAACGCUGGGUUUCUAAUUUGUGGAGAAUGUUAUGAAAAGAAAUGUGAUAGUGUUCCUAUUUUCUGUUGAUGCCUCAUUAUCCAGAAUCUUCAGCGAAAGAGAUGUUCCAUGUGACUGAUUUCCUACUUACAAAAGCUUAUUGUUUUAAGCACCAAGACUUUAGUAAAAUCACUUUGAAUUAAAGCUUGAAAAAAUUGCAUACUUCCUUAUCUUAAACAGUCUGCUGACUAGAACUGUACCCCAUUUUGUGCCUCAAAAUUAUGAGAGGAAACGAAACAGUGAAUUGUAAUUCAGUUAUAUAUUUGGAGAUGGUGA